AAGAGUCUUAUAGCCAAGGAAUCAAAAACUCAAUUCCUAAAAUACCACCUUAGUCGGGCUCAGCAAAGAAUGAUCUCUUAAGCCAACCAUCGUAGAUCAGAUAGGCAGUUCUAAAUAGGUGAUUGGGUCUACCAAAAGAUCCAACCUUAUAGACAAUUCACUAUGUCUGCAACUCCUUUUUCAAAACUAGCAUCCAGAUACUAUGGGACUUAUCAAAUCAUUCAGAAAGUUAGUGCAAUUUCCUACAAAUUGAACCUUCCUUCCAACAUCACCAUACACC
RNAcentral lists this long non-coding RNA (280 nucleotides) under Nicotiana benthamiana. Its description in RNAcentral is "long non-coding RNA (NBEN_LNC041655)". Lineage: Eukaryota; Viridiplantae; Streptophyta; Magnoliopsida; Solanales; Solanaceae. The record is from RNAcentral.